UGCCUCAGUAACGGCGAGUGAAGCGGCAAAAGCUCAAAUUUGAAAUCUAGCACCUUCGGUGUUCGAGUUGUAAUUUGAAGAUGGUAACCUUGGGUUUGGCUCUUGUCUAUGUUCCUUGGAACAGGACGUCAUAGAGGGUGAGAAUCCCGUCUGAUGAGAUGCCCAUUCCUAUGUAAGGUGCUAUCGAAGAGUCGAGUUGUUUGGGAAUGCAGCUCUAAGUGGGUGGUAAAUUCCAUCUAAAGCUAAAUAUUGGCGAGAGACCGAUAGCGAACAAGUACAGUGAUGGAAAGAUGAAAAGAACUUUGAAAAGAGAGUGAAAAAGUACGUGAAAUUGUUGAAAGGGAAGGGCAUUAGAUCAGACUUGGUGUUUUACGAUUAUCUUCUCUUCUUGAGUUGUGCACUCGUAUUUCACUGGGCCAGCAUCAGUUU
Molecule: ribosomal RNA, 429 nt
Filed under: Hansenula anomala
Lineage: Eukaryota; Fungi; Ascomycota; Saccharomycetes; Phaffomycetales; Wickerhamomycetaceae
Description: Wickerhamomyces anomalus partial large subunit ribosomal RNA
Rfam family: Eukaryotic large subunit ribosomal RNA
Source: RNAcentral